CUACGUUUACUCCAAGUUCCAUUUUAAUUGAAGUCAACUUUGUGACCUCUUCGGAGCCCCUCACAUCAUUCGAACCUCCAUCCUUCUCUUGCGUUUCAGUUUUUCUGUUGAAGGGCUGUAUUCCAUCUCCGCCAUUGAGAAUAUUUCUAAUGCUGAGCAAAUUGCCGAGUUAAAUUUUGCAAUAGCUGAUGUGGCUUGGUGGCUUUCUGCUUAACGUGGUCCAAUAAUGCGAUGCGAAAGUUUUUGCCCAUAGAUUGAAAGGGUCCAUUCUGGUUCAAGGACAAAUUUCUCGGUUUUAGCGUUUUAAUGAUUUUCAUGUCUAAAUUGCUCAUGCUGUGCAUUGUUUGCCCGCAGAUCACUGAAUUUUGUUGAAGAUUUUAAGGAGAAAAGAAAGCCAUAUGGGAUCUGCCUCACAACUUGCGGACUCGUUUGUCCGUUCUGCUGAGGAUGAAGUUUGGUACAUCGUGAAGAUAGCAAGUCCAAAAUGUGACGAGUUAGAUGUUAUUCCAAGUAAUUGGCUUAUAGACAAAAAUCAAUGUCACUAUCCCCCUGCAAUGGCCAAAUAUAGGGCCAAGAGGAGACUUAUAUCCAAAGAUUGGGAAGUCAUGAAGAUAAUGUCGACUUCAAAGCCAUAUUGUAAUUAUGAUUCUGCAGUGACAGAUUGUAUAAGGCUCCUCUCUGGAAAAAACACACAAAGUGCGAGUGAUGCUGAACCGAAAGGACUAGGUUGCCGCAAAAAAAAAAUUACCCAAGUGUUUUCACCGCAGGCUUCGCCGGUGAAAAAAAAGGGUAAAAAGGAUCUGCACCACUUACUGACCAGAUACUUCAAAGAGAGAAUAACAUUUCUCAGAAAAAAAGUGGGAAAUUAGUUUUUCCAACUCCACCGUUAUUAGAAAAACCUGCCCCUAAGAGUACUCUGUCACCGUCAAUUCUGAAAGAAAACAAGGCUCCCAAAAAGCAAUUAUUUUCAGUAGACAUGUUUGAUGGUUGCGAAGAAGAUCUUUUAAUAAACCCCUCUUGCAACAACAAGCUCAAAACUGGAAAGUGUGUUCAGAAGGAGAAACCUGCCCCUAAGAGUACUCAGUCACCGUCAAUUCUGAAAGAAAACCAGGCUCCCAAGAAGCAAUCAUUUUCAGCAGACCUUUUUGACGGGUGCGAAGAAGAUCUUUUAAUAAACCCCUCUUGCAACAACAAGCUCAAAACUGGAAAGUGUGGUCAGAAGGAGAAACCUGCCCCUAAGAGUGCUCAGUCACCGUCAAUUCUGGAAGAAAUCAAGGCUCCCAAGAAGCAAUCAUUUUCAGCAGACCCUCUUGACGGGUGCGAAGAAGAUCUUUUAAUAAGCUCUUCUUGCAACAACAAGCUCAAAAGUGGAAAGAGUGGCCAGAAGGAGAAACCCUCAGGUGACGACAAUCCAGUUAACAAAGAAUCAGAUUAUGCAUGCAGCAUCAGGCACAAGCUGAUUCCGUGUGCCAAUCCUAGAGGGGACCCCACAUUAGCUGAUAUGGCUCUCACGAUCUGUGCCCUAGCAAAACAGAUAGAGAGCCUCACCCGAAUGAUUGCCAAUAUGCAAGCAGAUGUAAACAUUCUGGCCACACAAGAACCCUCCAGAGAACCCUCGGAGAAAAAUAAGUCGAGUAGCAAAGAAGUCUUCAAUUCUUUGCCAUUUGCAGAUUUUGAUCAACUAAUAGAAUUCGACGAUAAAAUCAGGGCAGACAGCAAGUUAUCUGAAAAAUUGGUCAGUUACCUGUACAAAAAGGUUGAUAAGUCAGCCGUUAGCAAGAUGGCUCGGGAUGUAGUGAGAAACGUCAUAACACCGGAAGUAUACGUUAAGCUAAACCUCCACGGCAAGGGAGACUUCAACAAGCAAGGUUGGACAGAGCUCCACAUGUUCCAAGUGCAGCAAAGUGUGGUGUCCAAGAAAUUUGGAGACUCGGAUCUGGUAAUGAAUAAACUGAAAACCACCACAGGCCUGUUCCUUGUCCAAGAGGCCGGAAAAUUGACAAAGAAACAGAAUCUUAGGGCAGCUUCAACACCUCUCAGUGCAAUUAUGCAGCCAGUCAAUAUCAAUGAAAAUGAUGAAUCUGAGGUGCUCAGUGAUUCCACAGCAGUACCCAACGAGAAUAAUGACUUCCUCAGCGACCUUGAUGAGGAUACAUGUUUCGCAGAAGGAUCUCAAUAGGAAGUUACUUCUUUGUCGUGUACUUAAAUGUUACGAUUAUCGUGUUUUCUCUUCUUAUACCUAAUGAGACCAAUUGGACUGCGUUAAACAGAAAGGAACCAAGCCACCUCAGCUUUUGCCAAAUUAAACUGAACAAUUUAAUUUUUUACAUGAGAGCUUUUGUGCCGAUUUUGUUGAAAAUUUUAAGGGAUUUGUCUCGUACCAUGCAGCAAAUUCACUGAAAUUUUCAAACAAAUCCGCACAACCGUUUUUAUGUAAUAAAUUUAAUUGACCAGUUAAAUUUGGCAAUAGCUGAUGUGGCUUGGUUCCUUUCUGUUUGAUGCGGUCCAAUAGGUCAGUUGCACCAGUCACAGAAUCGUUUUUUGAUGCUUGAUUCUUGUAUAUUAUGUAAAAAAAACAAUAUAUCUGUCAAAAUAGCAACUUUCUACAGUCAAUAUUAACCAAGAUAUUGCCCUUUGAAAAUUUGGGUUUUGACAUCAUCCAAUGCGGUAGUGACACCCUUGGUUUCUUCCACCUUGUCUUCAUCAAUCAGUGAGACACACGUUUGCACUGGUUAUUCCAGGUGAAUCUUAGAUAAGAGGAAGGUGGAAGGAACCAAGGGUGUCACUACUGCGGUGGAUGACGUCAAAAACUAAGUUUUUUGAAGCGCGUUAUCUCAAUUAAUAUAAAACAUUGAAAGUUGUUGUUUGGACGGAUCUCAUUAUUUUGAGCUAACCUACAAGAAUCAAGCAUUAAAACGUAAUCCUGUGACCAGCGCAACUGACUCAUUGUAAGUAUCAAAGACUAUCAAAGUCUAAGACUGUUCAAGUCAUUUGGUCUUUUUCAAUUGUUAAUUGUUUAAAAGCUCAUUUUCUUUUUCACUUUUUUAAGUUACUGAAUAGCUAUUCCUUAGUGGUGUAUUUUAAUGUUCCUAAAUUGAGGAGUUCUUUGGCAUAGCCACGUAUAACGAAAAAUAUAGUUGUGAGAAAUACGCUAUUGAAAGUUUGAUAGUGCAUUUUUUCGAAACUACUCAAAAGGUGUCAAAAUGGGACAUUCGCGCAUUAGACGAUAAUUUUUCGCCAAUCUUCUCAAAACUUGACAUUUUCGGUCUUUAUGGGAAAAGGAAUCCAAUAUUAUGUUCAGUAUUUGGUUCAUAGUGACAAUCCCGCCAAAAAAUUGUGUUGCCAAGUCUCUGUUUUUAAUCUAUUUGAUAAACAGAUUAGCAUGAUUAUGGUAGAGAUUUAACGCGCGUGUCGUUUGCUUUUUUUUCAUUGAAAAAGAAAAUGAAUUCACUUAUCCUGAAAUUGAGAAAUGCAUCUUAUUAAGAAUACACCCCCCCCCCCACCAUCGUCUUACCUAUCGCAAAAACCGCAGCAAUAUUUGACUAUAGGGGAAUGAAUUCAUCAAUGGGCAAACAUUAAAGUGAAUCCGAAAAUCAUAAACGAAUAAGUUGCUCUCAAAUAUUAUCAUUCUUUGACACAGAUGCUGUUUUUCCCGGUUUUUUUUUUUUCCUGUUCUUUUCUUGUCCCGUUUCUGUAAUGGGCUCGUCCCAAUGUGCGUGGUUAUGCCAAAGAACUCCUCAAUUGUACUUGGCUCUCUCUAUAAAAGUUAAAACUUUCUACAAAUGAAAGGUGUUAAGAAGUGGUCCACUACCUAGCCUCUCUUUUUUUCAGUAUUAUUGAGUUAUCUCACGGCAGCUCACGUACAAGCUUCAUUCCUUUUAACUUUUUCUCUUCUUGUACUUAAUAAGACUAAUUGUAAGUAUCAUAGUCAAUUGAAGCCUAAGACUGUUCAUUGUUCAUUUAUUUUAUUUUUUUUUUCCUUUCUUUUUUCGUUAACUGUUUUAUAAACAAGAAUCAGCCGUCACUUGUGCCUUUAAGUUGCCUAUAUUUGUUGUUUAUGAAUUAUGAGUGUAAGAUUUAUAUGUUCCUACAUCAUUGUUCCUUGAAA
RNAcentral lists this long non-coding RNA (4108 nucleotides) under Bemisia tabaci. RNAcentral describes it as "lncRNA ENSASIAIIG008425". Lineage: Eukaryota; Metazoa; Arthropoda; Insecta; Hemiptera; Aleyrodidae. The record is from RNAcentral.